RNAcentral lists this ribosomal RNA (932 nucleotides) under Lactifluus aff. piperatus EDC-2013. Its description in RNAcentral is "eukaryotic LSU rRNA". It matches the Rfam family "Eukaryotic large subunit ribosomal RNA", at positions 50 to 956 of the family's 3401-position model. The record is from RNAcentral. Lineage: Eukaryota; Fungi; Basidiomycota; Agaricomycetes; Russulales; Russulaceae.
AUAGCGAGAAAGAAACUAACAAGGAUUCCCCUAGUAACUGCGAGUGAAGCGGGAAAAGCUCAAAUUUAAAAUCUGGCAGUCUUUUGGCUGUCCGAGUUGUAAUUUAGAGAAGCGUCUUCCGCGCCGGACCGUGCACAAGUCUCCUGGAAUGGAGCGUCAUAGAGGGUGAGAAUCCCGUCUUUGGCAUGGACACCCGGGGCUUCUGUGAUGCGCUCUCGAAGAGUCGAGUUGUUUGGGAAUGCAGCUCAAAAUGGGUGGUGAACUCCAUCUAAAGCUAAAUAUUGGCGAGAGACCGAUAGCGAACAAGUACCGUGAGGGAAAGAUGAAAAGCACUUUGGAAAGAGAGUGAAACAGUACGUGAAAUUGUUGAAAGGGAAACGCUUGAAGUCAGUCGCGUCGAUCGAGACUCAGCCUUGCCUCGGCUUGGCAUACUUCUCGGCUGACGGGCCAGCAUCAAUUUUGUCUCUCGGAUAAUGACAAGGGAAAGGUGGCACCUUCACAGGUGUGUUAUAGUCUUCUGUCGCAUGCGAGGGGUGGGAUUGAGGAACUCAGCACGCACCUUCUUGGUGUCGGGGCUUUCUGCCCACGCUACGUGCUUAGGAUGUUGGCGUAAUGGCUUUAAACGACCCGUCUUGAAACACGGACCAAGGAGUCUAACAUGCCCGCGAGUGUUCGGGUGGAAAACCCGUGCGCGUAAUGAAAGUGAAAGUUGGGACCUCUGUCGUGGAGGGCACCGACGCCCGGACCAGACCUUCUGUGACGGAUCUGCGGUAGAGCGUGUAUGUUGGGACCCGAAAGAUGGUGAACUAUGCCUGAAUAGGGUGAAGCCAGAGGAAACUCUGGUGGAGGCUCGUAGCGAUUCUGACGUGCAAAUCGAUCGUCAAAUUUGGGUAUAGGGGCGAAAGACUAAUCGAACCAUCUAGUAGCUGGUC